UAACGCGUAGGUGACCUGCCCCGAAGUGGGGAAUAACUGCCCGAAAGGGUGGCUAAUACCGCAUGUGGUGAUGCGUUCAUUCGCAUCAGUAAAGCCGCAAGGCGCUUCGGGAGGGGCCUGCGUCCGAUUAGCUCGUUGGUGAGGUAACGGCUCACCAAGGCGACGAUCGGUAGGUGGUCUGAGAGGACGAUCACCCAGACUGGGACUGAGACACGGCCCAG
Molecule: ribosomal RNA, 221 nt
Filed under: uncultured bacterium
Lineage: Bacteria
Description: partial 16S ribosomal RNA
Rfam family: Bacterial small subunit ribosomal RNA
Source: RNAcentral